Molecule: ribosomal RNA, 410 nt
Filed under: uncultured bacterium
Lineage: Bacteria
Description: partial 16S ribosomal RNA
Rfam family: Bacterial small subunit ribosomal RNA
Source: RNAcentral
UGGGGAAUUUUGGACGAAUUGGGCGAAAGCCUGAUCCAGCAAUGCCGCGUGUGUGAAGAAGGCCUUCGGGUUGUAAAGCACUUUUGUCCGGAAAGAAAUCCUUGGCUCUAAUACAGUCGGGGGUGGACGGUACCGGAAGAAUAAGCACCGGCUAACUACGUGCCAGCAGCCGCGGUAAUACGUAGGGUGCAAGCGUUAAUCGGAAUUACUGGGCGUAAAGCGUGCGCAGGCGGUUUGCUAAGACCGAUGUGAAAUCCCCGGGCUCAACCUGGGAACUGCAUUGGUGACUGGCAGGCUAGAGUAUGGCAGAGGGGGGUAGAAUUCCACGUGUAGCAGUGAAAUGCGUAGAGAUGUGGAGGAAUACCGAUGGCGAAGGCAGCCCCCUGGGCAAGUACUGACGCUCAUGCACG